RNAcentral lists this ribosomal RNA (495 nucleotides) under uncultured bacterium. Its description in RNAcentral is "partial 16S ribosomal RNA". It matches the Rfam family "Bacterial small subunit ribosomal RNA", at positions 28 to 507 of the family's 1533-position model. The record is from RNAcentral.
GACGAACGCUGGCGGCGUGCCUAAUACAUGCAAGUAGAACGCUGAAGGAGGAGCUUGCUCUUCUGGAUGAGUUGCGAACGGGUGAGUAACGCGUAGGUAACCUGCCUGGUAGCGGGGGAUAACUAUUGGAAACGAUAGCUAAUACCGCAUAACAGUAGAUGUUGCAUGACAUUUGCUUAAAAGGUGCAAUUGCACCACUACCAGAUGGACCUGCGUUGUAUUAGCUAGUUGGUGGGGUAACGGCUCACCAAGGCGACGAUACAUAGCCGACCUGAGAGGGUGAUCGGCCAAACUGGGACUGAGACACGGCCCAGACUCCUACGGGAGGGAGCCGUAGGGAAUCUUCGGCAAUUGACGGAAGUCUGACCGAGCAACGCCGCGGGAGGGAAGAAGGGUUUCGGAUCGUAAAGCUCUGUUGUAAGGGAAGAACGGGUGGGGGAGUUGAAAGGUCACAAUGUGACGGUAUCUUACCAGAAAGGGACGGCUAACUACGUG